This is a long non-coding RNA of Olea europaea var. sylvestris, 495 nucleotides long. RefSeq lists it as uncharacterized. The record is from RefSeq and is a predicted model, not a curated record. The transcript is spliced from 2 exons. NCBI's taxonomy places the organism in Eukaryota, Viridiplantae, Streptophyta, Magnoliopsida, Lamiales, Oleaceae.
UUUCUUUUUUUCCUCCAAGUCCCUCCCAAAAAUUUCUCGCUCAUCAAACUCACUUCCAAUCCGAGUUUACUCGUUCAUUUCUGUCUUUGAAAACUGAUUUUAUUCCUGAUUAGAAAAUGGACCUUGAGGCAAGAAGCUUGCAGCAAAGCUUGAAGGCUACACUACUUGCUAAGCUCAGGGAAUAUAAAUCUGAUCUGAAUAAGAUGAAAAGGGAAUUGAAAAAAAUAACUUUGCCUAAGUCAAACGUUCUGGCCAUGAAGAGUUGUUAGAAUCUGGAAUGGCUGGUGCAAAUUCGGUAUGCGUGCAUUCAAUUUCCCUGUUGAUUUUUUUUGUCCUUAAUAUAUAAGGUAUGUAUAUAUUGCAUGGAGAACUGCAAUUAGCUUUGACGAUGUAGCAUCAUCUAGCCUCACUGGAGAUAAUUCAUCUGUGUCUGGUUGCAUGAUGAGUGGAUGCUUAUAUUUUACUAUUAAUAGAGCCGUGUAAAAAUUCUCCUUG